CGGGGGGGGUAAGCGUUGUUCGGAAUUACUGGGCGUAAGGGCUCGUAGGCGGCCAACUAAGUCAUACGUGAAAUCCCUCAGCUUAACUGGGGAACUGCGUGUGAUACUGGAUGGCUUGGAUUUGGGAGAGGGAUGCGGAAUUCCAGGUGUAGCGGUGAAAUGCGUAGAUAUCUGGAGGAACACCGGUGGCGAAGGCGGCAUCCUGGACCAAUAUUGACGCUGAGGAGCGAAAGCCAGGGGAGCAAACGGGAUUAGAUACCCCGGUAGUCCUGGCCCUAAACGAUGAAUGCUUGGUGUAGCGGGUAUCGAUCCCUGCUGUGCCGAAGCUAACGCAUUAAGCAUUCCGCCUGGGGAGUACGGUCGCAAGGCUG
This 371-nucleotide ribosomal RNA is filed under the name uncultured organism. Its description in RNAcentral is "bacterial SSU rRNA". It matches the Rfam family "Bacterial small subunit ribosomal RNA", at positions 526 to 896 of the family's 1533-position model. The record is from RNAcentral.